Long non-coding RNA from Nycticebus coucang (slow loris), 4990 nucleotides. RefSeq lists it as uncharacterized. The record is from RefSeq and is a predicted model, not a curated record. The transcript is spliced from 3 exons. Lineage: Eukaryota; Metazoa; Chordata; Mammalia; Primates; Lorisidae.
UAAUAUAGACUCCAUACUUAAUUCUCUUCUGCUGGACAUUUCUCUCUCUGCUGUGUGGUGGUUCAAAACUACACAGACACCGAUCUUAAUGGAGGGAUUAGGGUGCUAUGUUAUCACUUCAACACACUGCUUUAGUCCAUAAAAUUCCCAGAGACAUAGCUAUCUUUAUGAGCCAUCACACGGUUUUAGUAGGACAUUUGAGGUUGGACUAAGUCCAUGUUUGGCUGCUUAUAUUAAAUUGUCAUUCCAAAAUUGGGUGUAUUUCAGCAGGGCUGGCUGGCAUUGAGCACACUCAUCUGUGCUAUCACCAAGCCGGUGUACCCAGACCUGUCUCUGCAUCUACGGUGCCAUACCCAUCCCACUGUUCACCCAGGGUUAUGGGCACCAAGGCUGACUCAGUGGGAAAUAAGUACCUGAAUUGUUCAGCCAUUGUAUUCCAAUUCCAGACCAUUUAUAAACAAAUGCAUCUUCAGUAGAAAGCAGUUUACCUGACAAAAUACUUUUGUUUGCUUUGAUCUUAUUUUUAAUUUUCGUUUUGGUUCAACAAUUUAAGCUGAAAUAGGGGUAGAAGUUCCAGGGUGCCAUGUGAAAGGACAAAACAAGGGUGCAAGGAUGCACCUGGAAAAUAAUUGAGACCUCAAGAGAGAAUCUUUUCAGUCCUUUUUCCCCUGAUGUUUCAAAGGCUGACAUAGGCCAGUCUUAAAUGACUAAUGGAGCUAUCAACCCUGCUUUAUUAAGCAUAUGCCCAGCAGUUGCUGAUGACAAGCCAGCUGCUAGCUGGACACUGGCCUGCCAGCUCCUUGCAGCAGACCCCUUCUGUUAAUCCAUGUUUGCAAUUCACAAACUUCAACAGCCUCACUGAGGCCAAAGUGUGCCACAGCCUCUCAUACUCUUGUUAUUAUAAAAUGAGUCCAUACCUUCAAAAGGGAGGUAGUAAUAACUGUUUCAUAGAAACAACAGUCAACGUGACUACUGUUAUAAGCGACAGGCUCCAAAAGUAGACAUUUCCAGACAGCAUCUCUCUUGGGUGCCUAGUACAAAGUUUUCUUUUCAAUGUCCCGUAGUCAGUUCCUCAUCAGCACAACAAAAUGCAAACUCCCUGCUCCUCCUGGAAAACAGCUCUACCUUUUGAUAUUGUCACCCUCCUUCCCCUCCUUUUUACAUUUUUUUUUCAAGAGGACUAAAUCAUCGUCUUCAGAUCCGGGUGAAUUCCCUCUCCACUCUGCUGUCCAUAAGCAGGAGUGUGCCAGAUGCCACCUCUAACCUGCAGUUCUGGGGUAAGGUGAUUUCUUACUAAUACAGAAGGAAACAUCUAGGCACCUUCCUGGUUGGAGCAAAAUUUUCUUUAAUAUCUUCAUCCAUUUGUGCUGCUAAAACAAAACAUGAACAUUCAAAUGUUGGAUGUAUCUGAGUUCAUUCCUCAUUUGUGUGACCACAGCACUCAAGUAAAAGAAAUUUAUUUUCUUACAAUGUUGGAGGCUGGGAAAUCCAAAAUCCAGCCACCAGCAUCUGGUGAGGGCUUUCAUCCUGUCAUCGCAGGGUGGAGGAGCAGAAGAGAGGGAACCCACUCCUGUAAGCCCUUUUUAUAGCACCAUAAUCCACUCAUGAGAACAGACCAAAAGGACCCAUCUCUCAACACCACCACACUGGGGAUCAGUUUCCCAUAUGGAUUUUGGGGGACAGAUUCAGACUACAGACAAUAUCCACCAGAAUCUGGACUCCAGCUAAUUCCUGACUGUGAGCUCCUUCCUCAGCCUCCCAAGAACUCUCUGGUCCUAGAUUGAGACUUUUCUUCCCAGUGCCUCCUUGACUUUCCUGUUUUCAACUCCAAUUCCCAUCCCUGAUGGCCACCCCACCCCACCCCCGACAUCCUUACUUGGAAUUUAGGAGUCAUAUUUGAUAUUGUUCUUCCUUGUCCAGAAUCAAUUGGUCUUGGCUUCUCAUAUCUCCAGAGACUAUUGUUUUCAUCUGAGACUUUUGUUAUAAUGAAUAUUGGCCUAGUCUUGGCCUGUGUCAGUCCCUACUAUUUUCUAUACAUAUGGGACAUAAUUACUGGAGUAAUCAUCUGGAAAAUACCACUUUAAUUGUAAGAACCCACAAUUCAAGUUCAUGUCUACAUUCCUUUUUGUUGACCAAAUAAAUUCCAAACUCCCAAACAUAGCAUUUCAGAAAUAGGCCCAAGCCUAUUUUUCCAAACAAUAUUUAUCCAUACUCUUUAUCUUACUCAACUGGUCAACAUUGCCAUUCCCAAAAUAUACGUCAUACAUCUGUGCGGCUCAGCUUAUUCAUACUGCUCUCCUUGCCUGAAAUACUUCAUGCCACUGUAUUGAUUGUGUUGAGUCAGCUCAACAACCCCCUAAAAACUCCAAAGUACCCAGUAUAAGAUUAUAGACAUUAUAAAAUUAUGAGACAAGACAAUUCCUAAAGUCCUUUCCAGCUUAGAAGUCCAUGAUUCAGAGGUAACAUUCUGAAGAGGUAACAUUCUAUCUCCAUCUAUUAUCACUCUGAUCCUCAAGUUGUCACUGAGGCAACCUGUUUGCUUUUAGACACAGUAAGUAUCUCUUCCUUUGGACCAUUCCUUUUAAUUUUCACAUGGGCCAUAAACACAUACCCUCUUGUAUUCCUGUUUUACUUCUCAUGCAUCUGUAUUUUCUCUCUAAUUCUGGAAUCAUGGGGCCCACGUAGCCUACCUCACCUUGAAGUAGAGAGCACCCUAUCAUUAUCCAUUGACGGAUGCUGGGUGAAUCAAAUCAUUAGUGAAAGUUGCUGGAAAAAUAAAUUGGAAACACAGGUACUGCAAGGGGACUCGUUAAAUGUACUCUCGCUGGUCUAAUUGCAUUUAAUUAAGUCCCUCGGGGAAUAAUUGCCCCUUAGGCCAUGUCAUCCAAGGUCAAAGUGACUCAUUUUAAUCAGAACUUCUCCUUGGGGUGAUGGAGCAAUUACAUAGCAUUUGGACUUGCAUCUAUGAUUUGGCUGAGGCCUCAUUUUAAUUUUGCGUCUGAAACAUUUGAAUUCUCAAAUGUAGGAAGAAGAUUUUAUAAAUUAGGCCAAAGAACAGCCUUUAAAACCUGCUUAUAUACUCAUCCCAGAUUUCCUCCCCUUGCUAUAGGCUGUCUUCUCAGAAGCCCUGGACAUAAUGACCUUGGGCAAACUGGGUGUGAAAGGUAACUGAAGGUUAAAAUGAUCUAGUGCUUUUAAUCAGUAUGAUUUGGCUAUUUUAUUUAAGAAUGUAAAAUAAUAUAAUAUAAAUUAUUGUGUGUUACCUUUGAGUCACCACAGUGGCCUUAGCCUCUGGACAUGUUAACCAAGAACUCAUAAAUAGAUUGAUAGUUAGGUUUUACUCUUUGAACACAUUUGUUUAAUCAUUACAAUUAUGGGCUGUGUCUUGAAUCCACAGGCACCUGCUCUUUAAUGUCAAGUUUUAAGGAUUUUGUGAUCAAAGAAAAUGAUUACAGGAACUGCGGAACAACUCUUGUCCAUUGGUCCCUCAAGUCUUGGGGAAAUGUUUGGGUUGAUUUAAAAAUUUAUCACAGUUAUGUGUGAUUUAUUCAUAUAAGACUUUUUAUGCAGAAGUAAGUGAAUUUGUUGUCACUGUUUAGUUCUUGUAAAAAGGCAGCAGGCUAAUUCUUGAAUAAAAAAAUAAAGAAUACUAAACAACAACUUUGGAAUCUAGUGUUAUCAUUUGUUUUUAUUUGGCUUAGAUGUGGAAGAAGGAGGUGGAUUGGUGUCACACUGUUUAGGAAAGACGGACUGCACGGGAGGGACGUUAUUGUACUCAGGCCAGCAUCUGUGGCUCGAUGCCAAUUCUGCCCAUAAAGGUGGUCUGUAACUUUGUGCUCAAAAUUUACUGUUGCUUUAAUUUCUUCAACUGUAACAUGGUGAUAAUUUUUUUAAUCUACUGUUACUGCAUUUUUAGGAUGAUGAGUUGAGAUAAUGUUUUGAAGACAAAGAAAUUACAUUGCUAUAUAUGCUUAACCUAUUAAUAUGAAUUCUUUCAAGUUGCAUUGAGAGCUGUCCUUUGAGCUACUUGGUAAUAACUCAUCUCAACUUCGUUUUUAUCCAUCCAAUUUCAAAAUCUAGUCAUCUGGCCUGUAAGGAUAAUGAUAGCUACAGCUCUGUGUUGAAGCCCUAGCUAGUAAUUCCAUGAUUCCUUAGACUAUCAAAUAUAUAUCAAGUUUCUGACAUAUGCUAAACACUUAUUUUUUAAAAAGCUAGAUUUAAAAUUUACUUGCUAUUACCAAGGGUUGUACCUAAAUAUAAAAAGCCUUAGCAUACAGUUUCCUUAAUAGUUUCUUCAAACUGUUCUUAAAACAGGAAGUAUCCAGUUCAUUAUUGAAAGAGUCAUUUUCUGUAUGCAAUUACUACCCUUAGGAUGCCUCAACAAUACAAAAAGGAGAAUGAAAAUAAACAACAAAACAAUUUGAAAUGAAGAAUGAGAAUUAAAGUUUUCAACUCUGGAAUAAAAUCUGACAAAAUGUCAGGCCAUGCCACAAGUAACUUUAAGGUCUGAAUUAACCUAGACAUGGCACUGAAGAACAGCCACUGGUUUCAAAUAACAUUACCAAAUAACAUUACCACUGCACAGGGAGGGACGUCAUUGACUCAGGCCCGCAUCUGGGGCUCGAUGCCAAUUCUGCCCAUAAAGGUGGUCUGUAACCACCAUGGUUGGUCCUGGUAACUCAGCAAAGAAAUGCUGAGGAGAUGUGAUGAAAAACUCUGGCUCUGGUUCUGUGGUGGGCUGGGUGAUCCUGGGCAAGUCAGGUUAGUAACUAUAGAGAAACCAUGAAUCUCUGGUGUAAAUGGUAGAGAUUGGUACUAGAUGAUUUCUAAGAGUCAUUUUGGGAUCUGCAACUUUAUGAGAAGUAUUGUGUAAUGUAUUAAAAUAAAGUUAUACCCCCAAAGAAAACCAGAUACCCAUUCAUCAUUCUGAGUAGCCCCCACCAAAACAUUUUCAUUUUGUGUACACUGUAUACUCCUUUCAAAACUGUCU